Molecule: ribosomal RNA, 253 nt
Filed under: uncultured bacterium
Lineage: Bacteria
Description: partial 16S ribosomal RNA
Rfam family: Bacterial small subunit ribosomal RNA
Source: RNAcentral
UACGAAGGGGGCUAGCGUUGUUCGGAAUCACUGGGCGUAAAGGGCGCGUAGGCGGCCGAUCAAGUCGGGGGUGAAAGCCUGUGGCUCAACCACAGAAUUGCCUUCGAUACUGUUUGGCUUGAGACCGGAAGAGGUAAGUGGAACUGCGAGUGUAGAGGUGAAAUUCGUAGAUAUUCGCAAGAACACCAGUGGCGAAGGCGGCUUACUGGUCCGGUUCUGACGCUGAGGCGCGAAGGCCAGGGGAGCAAACGGG